This 253-nucleotide ribosomal RNA is filed under the name uncultured bacterium. RNAcentral's name for it is "partial 16S ribosomal RNA". It matches the Rfam family "Bacterial small subunit ribosomal RNA", at positions 524 to 776 of the family's 1533-position model. The record is from RNAcentral.
UACGGAGGGUGCGAGCGUUGUUCGGAAUCACUGGGCGUAAAGCGCGUGUAGGCGGUCUGCUAAGUCUGAUGUGAAAGCCCGGGGCUCACCCCCGGAAGUGCAUUGGAAACUGACAGACUGGAGUCCCGGAGAGGAGGGUGGAAUUCCUGGUGUAGCGGUGAAAUGCGUAGAUAUUGGGAGGAACAUCGGUGGCGAAGGCGGCUACCUGGACGGGUACUGACGCUGAGGCGCGAAAGCUAGGGGAGCAAACAGG